Molecule: long non-coding RNA, 1563 nt
Organism: Entelurus aequoreus (snake pipefish)
Lineage: Eukaryota; Metazoa; Chordata; Actinopteri; Syngnathiformes; Syngnathidae
Exons: 4
Source: RefSeq, a predicted model, not a curated record
CUCACCUUGAAUAUGUACAAAUAAGUACAAAUGUCAUUUUAUUACACGUUUUGUCAAAUCACUUGUACUGCGUUAACUUCACAUAUAUGACACGUCCUUAGGUCAAAGGUGUAUUAAGACCGACCGGAAAAGACUGUCACGUGAUACAGACACCGGAAGUAACUAUUCUUGGCGCCUUUGUUGAUAAUUAGCAAAACUACCAUCAUGCAUGGAUUUUUGGUUGCGUCUAGUUAUUGUUGCUUUUGGAUGUGUCAAAUUAAAUAUUCAAUUUAAUUACAGUUAUGCUUUAAUUGAUAAUAUAUAACUACUGGAUACAAUGUGGAGAUGCUCUUUAAUACACAUUUUAAUAUGUUUGAGGGACUACUCAAUGUUUUCUUCUACAGUUGUUGACAUUUUCUUCCCCCCCAUCUUACAGUUGUGUGAGUUGCCUGGAGGAAGGGUCACUUAAGGUAGAGCAAGACCACCUAUUUCCGACAGAUCCAAGGGCACAAAGGAUGGAGAGGAGGAGGGCGAUCAACAAUCACUUGUGAAAGGAUGGCGAGGAGGAGGGCGAUCAACAAUCACCUGUGAAAGGAUGGCGAGGAGGAGGGCAAUCAACAAUCACUUCAUUGGAACAAAACAUCAGCAGCAAAUAUCUCACUUAAAGGGCGCCACAGCUUUCCCUUCAGUCUACCCUGUUCACACGUUCAUUUCAUCUGGUAUUGACUAUUGCGAUUGUCUCUUCACUCUUUUCAACAAGUCAACUAAAGAGACUUCAGACGCUACAAAAUGCAGCUGCCAGACUUUAGACCGGUGCACCCAGAACAGUCCAUGUCACCCCCUUUUGAUCCAGUCUUCAUUGGCUUCAAGGCACAUUCAGUUGAAGCUUUUAGUUCUGACUUUCCAUGCAUUGCAGUACAUCACUGACUUGUUAUGUCCCUACUCUUCAGUUGCAUGGUGAGUUCCCUCAGUACAUCACUGACUUAUUAUGCCCCUACUCUUCAGUUGCAUGGUGGGGCCCCUCAGUACAUCACUGACUUAUUAUGUCCCUACUCUUCAGUUGCAUGGUGGGGCCCCUCAGUACAUCACUGACUUAUUAUGCCCCUACUCUUCAGUUGCAUGGUGGAGCCCCUCAGUACAUCACUGACUUGUUAUGCCCCUACUCUUCAGUUGCAUAGUGGGGCCCCUGAGUACAUCAUUGACUUUUUAUGCCCAUACUCUCCAGUUCCAUGGUGGGGCCCCUCACUAUUUUACUGACUUGUUAUGCCCCUACUCUUCAGCUGCAUUGUGGGGCCCCUCAGUACAUCACUGACUUGUUAUGUCCCUACUCUUCAGUUGCAUAGUGGGGCCCCUCAGUACAUCACUGACUGUUUAUGCCCCUACUCUUCAGUUGCUGUGAUCUUGACUGUGUUGACACUUUUAAGAAACAUUUUAGUUAAUGCACCUUUUAACUACCAUUUUUAAUCCCCUUUGUAUUCCUUUUAUGAUGUUGUUGAUUUAAUUGAAUUGUUGUUUUACUUCACCUAUGUUUUGUACAGCGCUUUGUCAUUUGAUCUGUGCAAUGCGCUUUAUAAAUAAAAUGUA